GAUGAAGAACGUAGCGAAAUGCGAUAAGUAAUGUGAAUUGCAGAAUUCAGUGAAUCAUCGAAUCUUUGAACGCACCUUGCGCCCUUUGGCUAUUCCGAAGGGCAUGCCUGUUUGAGUGUCAUGAACACCUCAACUCUCAUGGCUUGCCAUGAUGAGCUUGGACUUUUGGGGGUCUUGCUGGCCUGUGGUCAGCUCCUCUCAAAUGAAUUAGCCUGCCAGUGUUUGGUGGCAUCACAGGUGUGAUAACUAUCUACGCUUGUGGUUUUCCACCAGGUAACCUUCAGUGAUGAAGGUUCGCUGGGGCUCAUAAACGUCUCUCCUCAGUGAGGACAGCUCUUUGAACGUUUGAUCUCAAAUCAGGUAGGACUACCCGCUGAACUUAAGCAUAUCAAUAAGCGGAGGA
This 403-nucleotide unclassified non-coding RNA is filed under the name soil metagenome. Its description in RNAcentral is "partial contains 5.8S ribosomal RNA, internal transcribed spacer 2, and large subunit ribosomal RNA". The stretch from base 1 to 121 matches the Rfam family "5.8S ribosomal RNA", at positions 35 to 154 of the family's 154-position model. The record is from RNAcentral.